RNAcentral lists this long non-coding RNA (2212 nucleotides) under Gossypium barbadense (sea-island cotton). RNAcentral describes it as "long non-coding RNA (GBAR_LNC022170)". The record is from RNAcentral. Lineage: Eukaryota; Viridiplantae; Streptophyta; Magnoliopsida; Malvales; Malvaceae.
CGCAUCAAUAAAUAAUUUAAAAUAAUAUGAUAUUGUUUAUUUAUAUACUUUAAUAGUUUAAAUUAUAAUGAAAGUGUAAUUCAUGAUAGCUAUAAAAUGUUAUUCAAUAUUUAUAAAAUUUUGAACCCCAUACGAUGGCAUGAUGGCCAAGGGCGUUCACUGUCCCAGUUAUGGUCUGGGUUUGAGUCGCGCUAAUCGUAUUUGUUAUUCAAGUUUUGCCCUGUCAUUAUUGUAACACUCCCUAGCCCCAAACCGUCGCUGGAACAGGGUUACGAGGUAUUACAUGACAUAUCAAACAAUUUACAAAUAAUUCAUAUAAAUUUUACUAAUAGACUUCAUUCAUUUUUUUUAUAAAAAUUUCGGUAGCAUUUCUACUUAUUUUUACAUACAACCCCCUGCAAAAUUUCAAACAUAACCAACCCAAUUCCAGUAUUUCAACCAAGGCAUUUAUAUACUUAAAUCUUACUUGACAUAUUGACAUAACAACUUAUUUAAUAAAAAUACUAUUAUCAUUUCUAAUUAACACAUAAAAACUAAUCAAGUCAUUUCAAUUCGAUACCAAUGCCAUAAAGGACUUCUACCAAUUUGCUAAUAUAAUCAUCAAAAUACAUAAUAUCUUACUUUACAACAAAACUAUAUAACAUACCAAAAUAACUAUUAUAAUUCUUAUGUACAUGCCACUUUCUCUUAAAGGAAGAAAACAUCACCAAAAUCUUUAUGUCGGAGUCGGGAUUGUCCUGGAUGCUGAACCGAGACUCUGAUCCCUUUUCAACUUGCACACGGAAACAACCGUACACUGAGUAUUGUAUACUCAGUGGUAUUACCAUAAUUCAAAUUAUAAUAACAACAAAGAAUUAUAAUUACCAAGCAUGUAACUAUCCGAUUUCUUAAAUAUCAAUUAAUUUAUAAACUUUCAUUAACUAACAAUAACAAUACAAUUUUUAGCUAUUCUUCAAUUUCAAUCAUAUAUCACAUGUAAUAAUUUCAAUCACUACAUAAACAUUAAAUUCAUGCCUUUCAUUUUCAAUCUCAAAUUUCAAUCCACAAUUUUAACUUUUCUUAUUUCAAUUAUUCACCCUAUUAACAAUCUGGAUUUUGACGGAUACACGGAUUCCAACCCAAACACACCAAUACGGCACAUUGUGCCUAAAACGGUAUAUAGUACCUGAUUAGUAUACGACACAUAAGUGUCUGAAACGACACACGAGGUGCCUGAUACGACACAUAAAGUGCCUGAAAUACGACACAUAAAGUGCCUGAUCGGCAAAGCCGAUAAAUCCCGUACUCUUCUAAAUCCUAUGGCAUGCCAAUUAUAUCCGACUCAGCCCGACUAGUUAAUAGGGUAUAUAAAUUUCUCGAUCUAAAUUUCACUUUUAUUUCAAAAAUUCAUUUUCAAUAUCAAUUAUACUUUUUCCUUUCACUAAUUAAACACAGUUCAAUACCAACACAUACUUUUCUCAUUCAAUUUAAUUUUUUUUUUCCAAAUUCAAUUCAAUAGUCACUUACCUUAUCAUAUGCUUGCCAUACACAUAAUUUAAAUUUAACAUCAAAUAAUAAAUAAUUUGAAUUAUAGUAAUACAAACCCGAAUUUUGCUCGAUUAUUCCUCAAUAACCUUCUCCUUUCCUUUGUGUGCCGAUGCCUCGAGUUCCUUGUUAGCUACGAAAAUAAUAAUAAUUUACACCAUCAAUUACAACAUUAAUUUAUAACAAUAAUAAAAUUUCUAUCUAAUUUAUACUUUAAUUCCAAUUUAAUUCACACUCUAUUUCUAUUCAAAUUUCUUCUAAACUCAAAUUUAACUACCAAAUUUUCAGCAUAUUUCAUUAAUUUCGAAUUUUCAUCAAUUUAAUCCCUACAAACAUAAAACUUAUAGCUUACUUCACAAUUUAAUCCUUUUAUCAACUCUAACUAGAAAUUCUAUCAAAUAAAACCUCAAUUCCAUCAUUUAUUCAACAUAAACCCUACUAAAAAUCUAUUAACUUUCAAAUUUUCAACUUAAAUCCAAGAGUAUUUCACUCUAGGGUUCCAAAAAACAUCAAAUUUAUGAGAAAAGGACUUGAUUUAGCUUACCUAUUAAACUUCAAGUUUCAAAAUCUUAAUUUUCCCUCUUUCUUUUCUUUCCCUUUUUCUUCUCCUGUUUUCGUCUCUUUCUCUGUUUCUUUUCUGUUCUUCUUUUGUUUCUUUUUCUUUUUGUUUUACUUACUUUAUUUUAAU